UUCGAAAGGAAUGCUAAUACCGCAUACGUCCUACGGGAGAAAGCAGGGGAUCUUCGGACCUUGCGCUAAUAGAUGAGCCUAAGUCGGAUUAGCUAGUUGGUGGGGUAAAGGCCUACCAAGGCGACGAUCUGUAGCGGGUCUGAGAGGAUGAUCCGCCACACUGGGACUGAGACACGGCCCAGACUCCUACGGGAGGCAGCAGUGGGGAAUAUUGGACAAUGGGCGCAAGCCUGAUCCAGCCAUGCCGCGUGUGUGAAGAAGGCCUUAUGGUUGUAAAGCACUUUAAGCGAGGAGGAGGCUACUUUAGUUAAUACCUAGAGAUAGUGGACGUUACUCGCAGAAUAAGCACCGGCUAACUCUGUGCCAGCAGCCGCGGUAAUACAGAGGGUGCAAGCGUUAAUCGGAUUUACUGGGCGUAAAGCGCGCGUAGGCGGCUAAUUAAGUCAAAUGUGAAAUCCCCGAGCUUAACUUGGGAAUUGCAUUCGAUACUGGUUAGCUAGAGUGUGGGAGAGGAUGGUAGAAUUCCAGGUGUAGCGGUGAAAUGCGUAGAGAUCUGGAGGAAUACCGAUGGCGAA
Molecule: ribosomal RNA, 575 nt
Filed under: Acinetobacter rhizosphaerae
Lineage: Bacteria; Pseudomonadati; Pseudomonadota; Gammaproteobacteria; Moraxellales; Moraxellaceae
Description: bacterial SSU rRNA
Rfam family: Bacterial small subunit ribosomal RNA
Source: RNAcentral